GAUGAACGCUAGCGAUAGGCUUAACACAUGCAAGUCGAGGGGCAGCAUGGUCUUAGCUUGCUAAGACUGAUGGCGACCGGCGCACGGGUGCGUAACGCGUAUGCAACUUGCCUCACAGAGGGGGAUAACCCGUCGAAAGACGGACUAAUACCGCGUACACUUGGGAUAGGGCAUCCUGACCCAAGGAAAUGAAAUUCGCUGUGAGAUAGGCAUGCGUCCCAUUAGCUAGUUGGUGAGGUAACGGCUCACCAAGGCGACGAUGGGUAGGGGAACUGAGAGGGUGACCCCCCACCCUGGUACGGAGACCCGGCCCAGCCUCCUACGGGGGGCCGCAGUGGGGAAUUUUGGUCAAUGGUCGGGAGCCUGACCCACCCAAGUCCCGUGAAGGAUGACUUUCUUUUGGAUUUUAAACUUUUUUUUUACGGGAAUACCAAGGGCCACGUUUGGCCCCCUGGCUGUACCUUUUGAAUAAGCGGCGGCUAACUCCGU
RNAcentral lists this ribosomal RNA (489 nucleotides) under uncultured bacterium. RNAcentral describes it as "partial 16S ribosomal RNA". It matches the Rfam family "Bacterial small subunit ribosomal RNA", at positions 28 to 506 of the family's 1533-position model. The record is from RNAcentral.